RNAcentral lists this ribosomal RNA (607 nucleotides) under uncultured bacterium. RNAcentral's name for it is "bacterial SSU rRNA". It matches the Rfam family "Bacterial small subunit ribosomal RNA", at positions 331 to 929 of the family's 1533-position model. The record is from RNAcentral.
CCAGACUCCUACGGGAGGCAGCAGUGGGGAAUCUUCCGCAAUGGGCGCAAGCCUGACGGAGCAACGCCGCGUGAGUGAAGAAGGUCUUCGGAUCGUAAAGCUCUGUUGAUGGGGACGAACGUGCCUAAUGCGAAUAGUUUUAGGCAAUGACGGUACCCAUCGAGGAAGCCACGGCUAACUACGUGCCAGCAGCCGCGGUAAUACGUAGGUGGCGAGCGUUGUCCGGAAUCAUUGGGCGUAAAGGGAGCGCAGGCGGGCCGGUAAGUCUUACUUAAAAGUGCGGGGCUCAACCCCGUGAUGGGAGAGAAACUAUCGGUCUUGAGUACAGGAGAGGAAAGCGGAAUUCCCAGUGUAGCGGUGAAAUGCGUAGAUAUUGGGAAGAACACCAGUGGCGAAGGCGGCUUUCUGGACUGCAACUGACGCUGAGGCUCGAAAGCCAGGGGAGCGAACGGGAUUAGAUACCCCGGUAGUCCUGGCCGUAAACGAUGGAUACUAGGUGUGGGAGGUAUCGACCCCUACCGUGCCGGAGUUAACGCAAUAAGUAUCCCGCCUGGGGAGUACGGCCGCAAGGCUGAAACUCAAAGGAAUUGACGGGGGCCCGCACAAG